AAAAGUUCUAAUAAAAUUAACUCAAAUUUACCGUUUAAAAUGCUUUAAAUAAUGUCUUACAAAGUUUUCAGUGCAACUGAAUUAUGGCAACGAGAAACCAGUUUUCCGUCUAUUCCUACGUUUAGCCAAAGUCUAGACAGUUGCUUAGGCAGCAAUGGAAUCCAGUUAGGUUGCCUGACUGAAUUACUUGGCCUUCCAGGCACUGGAAAAACACAGUUAUGUUUACAGCUUUGUGCCUCUGUCCAAGUACCAAGUGUUUUAGGGGGACUGAAUGCUGAAGCACUUUAUGUUGAUACCAAUACAAAUUUUACACCGCAAAGAUUUAAAGAAAUAGUUUCUGCAAGCCAGACAAAAUGCCAGCAACUAUUGGAGACUCCGAUAGAAUCAAACAAGGACCCACUGCACAGGUUGCACUACAUAAAUGCAUUUGGACUCGAAAAGUUUUGUGCUACUAUGUACAGAAUGCCUUCAGUCAUUGAGGACCAUCCACAAAUAAAGCUAAUCGUAAUAGAUUCAAUAACGUUUCCAUUCAAAGAGGGCAUAACACCGAGUCAAAGAACUGGCUUGCUGUUCAGGCAGAUGGCUGAUCUUCAGCGACUGGCAGUAGAAAAACAAAUUGCUGUAA
Long non-coding RNA from Ostrinia nubilalis (European corn borer), 625 nucleotides. RefSeq lists it as uncharacterized. Lineage: Eukaryota; Metazoa; Arthropoda; Insecta; Lepidoptera; Crambidae. The transcript is spliced from 5 exons. The record is from RefSeq and is a predicted model, not a curated record.